This 2521-nucleotide long non-coding RNA is filed under the name Chlamydomonas reinhardtii. RNAcentral describes it as "long non-coding RNA (CREI_LNC000104)". Lineage: Eukaryota; Viridiplantae; Chlorophyta; Chlorophyceae; Chlamydomonadales; Chlamydomonadaceae. The record is from RNAcentral.
GUAGACGACUCCGGCCUCCGACAGGGCAGACAUGCGCAUGGCGUUGCGCAUGUAGUCGGUGAAGAUGUAGAAGGUGGCGCAGUAGGGGAUCAGGCCCGACUUGUGCAGGGCAAUGCCGUUGCAGAUGGCGCCCAUGGCGUGCUCACGCACACCGAAGCGCAGGUUGCGCUCGGCAUAGCUGCCCUUCUGGAAGUCGCCAGAGAUCUUCAUCAGGGUCAGGUUGGAGGGGGCCAGGUCGGCCGAGCCACCGAUCAGGCCGGGCAGCGCGGGCGCCAGGGCGUUGAUCAUGGUCUGGCUGUGCUGGCGGGUGGCCAGGCCCUUGUCCUCGGGCUUGAAGUGGGGCAGAGCAGCCUCCCAGUUCUCGGGCAGCUGCGGGCGAGAGGCAAAAGUGAUUAGGCAAAAGCGAGGAGCGGGUAAAUGUCCUGUACAGAUUUGGGACUAGCAGCCCUGAACGGAGUUGGCGGCGCCCACUCCGUUCAGACCCAUAUUGCAUUGAGCUUCCGGGCCAACAGACCCAAAACAGCCUAAUGCAUCAAGAUGCCACCAGGGCCACACACCCACCUUGCAGCUGGUCAGGGCCUCGAACUCAGCCCACUCCUUGGGGUACUUGGCCUUGUACUCGGCGCAGGCCUUGUGCCAGUUGGCCUCCUCCUCGGCACCGCGCUUGAUGGCGCCGCGGAAGACGUCGUACACGUCCUGGGGCACCUCGAACUCGCCGUAGGGCCAGUUCAGGUUCUUGCGGGUGGCGGCGGUCUCAUCGGGGCCCAGGGGGGCGCCGUGCACGUCGUGCGAGUCGGCCUUGUUGGGCGAGCCGUAGCCGAUCAGGGUGGACACCUUGAUCAGAGUGGGCUUGUCCUUGACGGCCUUGGCCUGCAGGGGUGGAGAGAGGGAAUGGGGCGUGGGAAGGUCAGACGAGCUGGUGUGCCUGUGCCCCGGUGCUGCGCUCUGCCCAACUUCUGCACUGCUGUGCUGAUGCGCAACCCUCUUCCCGCGUAACUCCACCAAGCCCUGCCCGUCAUCUCUCAUCGCCUGUCUUUGGACCUGACCUCCCCCAAUCAUCGCCGCCGCAUAAGCUUCACAUCCACACCCACCUGAGCAAUGGCGGCGCGCAGGCCGUCCACGUCGGUGUUGCCGUUGAUCACGUGGAUCACGUGCCAGCCCAGCGCCUCGUAGCGCUUGGCCACGUCCUCGGUGAACGAGAUGUCGGUGUGGCCGUCGAUCGAGAUCUUGUUGUCGUCAUACAGGGCAAUCAGCUUGCCCAGGCCCCAGUGGCCGGCCAGCGAGCAGGCCUCGUUGGAGAUGCCCUCCAUCAUGCAGCCGUCACCCAGGAUGCAGUAGCUGAGGAGCGGAACAGGGAGAGGAGGAUGGAGGGGGCAGGUAGAGAGGGUAGUCAGCGCGGUGGCUGGGAAAGAGCUGGUCAGCGGGCGGCAGCAGCUGACACGCGUGUGCUGUGGCGGGAAAGCUUAUGCAGCUGAAGUGCCCGACCUAAGUGAGUCGACGCCAACCACCGAUGCGGCUGGUCGGGUCGGCCGUCUGCCUCCCGCUGCACACGUGCCCUCGACCCCCGCAGAGCCGUCAACCCACCAAGUCGCAACAUGCUCUCCAGUGUCCGCUGUACAGUCCCCACUGCUUUGAACCCACCCACUCCCUGCUCCCGUCCUCGCAACUGACCCUGUCCAUGUCCCAUUGCCCGCGUCUAGCCCCCCGAAGCUAGCAACCCCGCACAUGCCAAGCAGGACUACGCCGAACAGACGAACUUCACUCACGUGUAGUGGUCCACGAUGGGCUUGACGUCCGGCUUGUUGAAGCGGGCAGCCAGGUGGGCCUCAGCCACGGCCAGGCCGACGGCGUUGCAGAUACCCUGGCCCAGGGGACCUACGGAGCAGGAGUAAACGAGGGGACGGGUCAGGACGAUCAGGUUUUCACAGGGCGGGCGACAGUGCUUCCGCGCACUCUACAAGCCGCACAUCCGGCCGCUGUGCGCUCAGCUGGAGGGUACGGAGUACGGCGUGCUUGCAAGAGAGACGUGGGGCGGGGACAACCCGCACGCUGCAACGUGGGCGGCUCGACCCAGAACGCCUCGUUCUGCCGCAAGAUUGAUAUUUUCUACGCUAUCUCGCCAUGCUAAACCUUAGCUUUGCUGCGCACGUUGAGUACGACCGCAAACGCCAUGCUCAGAGUCGCGAUAAGGCCGACCAAUCCCAUCGGAGUUGCGCUGCGCCGACCGAUGCUGCAGUCACGGUUCUCAUCUUGCUGAUAUACAACGCACAAAACGCGGGCCCAACGUGCUGCAGCGUCGUGAUGAGGCGGCGCCCGCAGGCGCGAAGGUCGCGCUGCAUAAUGGUCGGGCAUCAAAAUGUGCUUUCUGUGCUGAAAAAGAUGCUGGCGUUGUCCAGAUCGCAACGCCUACGCCGGACCCCGAGCAAAACGCUUGAUGGUGCUCACCAGUGGUCACCUCCACGCCGGGAGUCACGAAGUUCUCCGGGUGGCCGGGGGUCAGGGAGUUCCACUGGCGGAACUG